This 21-nucleotide small nuclear RNA is filed under the name Arabidopsis thaliana (thale cress). Its description in RNAcentral is "snRNA_10959". Lineage: Eukaryota; Viridiplantae; Streptophyta; Magnoliopsida; Brassicales; Brassicaceae. The record is from RNAcentral.
AACCCAGCCAUUUGGGUUCUG